This 410-nucleotide ribosomal RNA is filed under the name uncultured eukaryote. RNAcentral describes it as "bacterial SSU rRNA". It matches the Rfam family "Eukaryotic small subunit ribosomal RNA", at positions 147 to 557 of the family's 1831-position model. The record is from RNAcentral.
CCGUAGUAAUUUUAGAGGUAAUACAUGCAUCCAUACCCAAAUGCUUGUUGGAAGGGUAGCAAAUAUUAGAUUGAAACCAAUAUCAUCAUUUAUGGUGAUUUUUGUGUUGAAUCAUAAUAACUGUGCGGAUCGCAAUUUUGCGAUAAGUCGAUUGAGUUUUUGCCCUAUCAACUUUGGAUGGUAGGAUAUGGGCCCACCAUGGCGUUAACGGGUAACGGGGAAUUAGGGUUUGAUUCCGGAGAGGGAGCCUUAGAAACGGCUACCACAUCCAAGGAAGGCAGCAGGGGCGUAAAUUAGCCAAUCCUGACACAGGGAGGUAGUGACCAUAAAUAACAAUGCUGGGCUUUUUCAAGUUUGGCAAUUGGAAUUAAAAGAAUUUAAAUCCCUUAACGAGGAACAAUUGGAGGGCC